This is a long non-coding RNA of Bos taurus (domestic cattle), 2339 nucleotides long. Lineage: Eukaryota; Metazoa; Chordata; Mammalia; Artiodactyla; Bovidae. The record is from Ensembl.
GGACAGAGGAGCCUGCCAGCCUACAGUGCAUGGGGUUGCAGAGUCAGACACAACUGAGAGACUGAUCACUUCACUUCAGAGAAAACAGAAGCAGAGCCAAGAGACCGCCAGCAUCACCAGCACGAGAGCCUCUAAGUAUAUAUUUUCCCAUUUUAAAAGUAAGGAAAGAAAGUCACGGUGAAAAAGGUGGGAAAACCAAGACGUGAGGGAAUUGGUUUGGUCCAAAGGGAUUCACGUUGGAGGAACCUGUUUCUUCAUCUGUAAAAGGCUAUCAGUCAGUUCAACGAGUCAAUCGUGUCUGACUCUUUGCGACCACGUGGACUGCAGCACGCCAGGCUUCCCUGUCCAUUGCCACUAUAAAGUGAUAUAAGCAAUGAAAACACAUGUAACGUGCCCAAGUCAGAGAACGUUCUUGAAAUGUUUGCUUUCCUCCCACCGAACGCCCCACCUCACUUUCUCCCACCGGAACACCCAGGUCUCCUGAUCCCCACGUGCACACAUGUUCAGAAACGCUAAAAGAACCACCGUUUCUCCACUUCCAUCCAGACUCCUCUUUAGCAGAGGCGGUUUUAAAGUCAUGUGUUAUUAGAAAUCUUAUAAUGUACAGUUUGUAAACGGCAAGUCAGAAAUUGGAAGCUCAGGCCAGGAUCCUGAGACUGCCUGUCCGACAGCAGAGGCAUCAGAGAAUGCACUCAUUCAUAAGCUCGCCAGAGAGACGAGGUGGAAAAGACACUGACGUACAGACAGGAAGUGCAGACAAGGCUAAUUCGUUGCCACUGAAGCUUGCUGAGCGUGGUCUGGCUGUGACGUAAAUUAUUCAUGCAUUCCCCACGGCACCCUUGUGUUGAAGGCUGAUGUCAGGACAGGACCCCGAGUUCCUCUUCUGCCCCCGCCAGAGCUGAGCCGCGGUGUACAGAGUCGACACACCAUCCAUCCUAAAAUCCACUCUGUCCUCCAAGGGGGCCCACAGUGCAAGGCUGGCCAGUGCAACUAGGCUUCCUUGUCCAACUGCCAGAGACAGAUGGAUUCAUUCAGUUGCCAGCCCAAUACCCCCUGAUAAUGGUGAUAAUGUCUGGAAUUGAUUUAUGGUGCUCCUCUUGCCAUGAGAACGCAGUGGAGGCUGGACUGUGUAAGUGGCCUUUUGCUGCAGGUACAGAAUCAUCCUCUAAUUGUUCAUCUAAUGUUUCAGAUGUCCUAGUCAGGAAUAACAAAUUCAUGUGCUAUAGGGGCCCAGAAGUCACAGUGGUAAAGAGUAAGAUGAGAGACUUGCCUAGUGGUCCAGUGGCUAAGAAUCUGCCUGCCAGUGCAAGGGACAUGGGUUCAAUCCCUGCUCAGGGAAGAUUCCACAUGUCACAGAGCAGCUAAGCCCAUAUGCCACAACUACUGAGCCCUCGUUCCUAGAGCCCAUUCUCUACAACAAAAGAAGCCACCACAAUGAGAAGCCUGUGCAUUGCAGUGAAGAGCCAGCACAGCCAUAAAUAAAUAAAUUUUAUUUUUUAAAAAGGAGUAAGAUGAUAGGGCGUGUUGGGGAAUGUCCGAGAGGAGAUUGCCUGUCCCAUCCUUCCAGACGGCUCCUUGCAGACCCAGCACAGAUUGUUGGCUUCUGAGGGCACAUGUCUUGGGUUAUUGCAUCUUCUGACUUUUCACAAGAAGCUGGAUUCCCAGAUUUUAAUGUGGAAAUCUCCUAGUUUUUAAAUUUAAGUGCUGAGUGAAUACUUCCAUUGGUCCAGUUCAACUAGAUUGUUUAUAAUCUCUGAUCUUAUUUGUUUCCCUGUGUAAAGGUAGCCUUUCACAGGAAGGGACAUCACUGUUUCUCCCACAUUCUCUUUUGUCCUCUCUUACACCGCAUCAUUCUUUGCAUAACGUGUAGCAUUUAUAUCAGUUAUGAUCUUCAACCUCAGUCACCAAUUUACUGCUCUGGUAUCCCAGACUCUGUGCUCCAGGUUCUUUUUCUUCUUCAUUAUUGCUUUCUGUGUCUUCUCCUCAUUUCUCAAAGGCCUCCAGACACCUCAAAAGGAAAGGCAGCGUGAACAGGAGUCAGUAAUGACUGUCUACUGACAACACGCCUUCAUCUCUAAGACAGCAUUUUCUCUCUUUCGAAGCCAGGUCAUUGCCAAGAUGGCAGGAGUUUAGCAGAGAAAAAGGGAGGAAUUCCAGGGUAGAGUCCAAAAGGCCUCUCCUUCCGUGUAAGGCGGCGCUCAACAGUUAAUGCGCACCCGACUCGCCUCCUAGCAUCCUCCGCCCCUCCUGCUCCCAGGUCCCACCAUCUGUGGGGACAUUCUCCCUUUUCCGGGACGUGUUCUGUGGUGGGGGCCCACUGCUCCCUCAUGCUCUCCCCG